Molecule: ribosomal RNA, 492 nt
Filed under: uncultured bacterium
Lineage: Bacteria
Description: bacterial SSU rRNA
Rfam family: Bacterial small subunit ribosomal RNA
Source: RNAcentral
GAUGAACGCUAGCGACAGGCUUAACACAUGCAAGUCGAGGGGCAGCGCGGGAGUCAGCUUGCUGACUUUUGGCGGCGACCGGCGCACGGGUGAGUAACACGUAUGCAACCUGCCCGCCACAGGGGGAUAACCGGGAGAAAUCCCGACUAAUACCGCGUAGUCCCGGGGAAGGCAUCUUCCCCGGGGGAAAGGAGCGAUCCGGUGGCGGAUGGGCAUGCGGCGCAUUAGCUAGUCGGCGGGGUAACGGCCCACCGAGGCGACGAUGCGUAGGGGUUCUGAGAGGAAGGUCCCCCACAUUGGUACUGAGACACGGACCAAACUCCUACGGGAGGCAGCAGUGAGGAAUAUUGGUCAAUGGGCGAAAGCCUGAACCAGCCAAGUCGCGUGAGGGAAGACGGUCCUACGGAUUGUAAACCUCUUUUGUCGGGGAGCAAAGGGGCCAUUAAUGGCAGGAUGAGCGUACCCGAAGAAAAAGCAUCGGCUAACUCCGUG